Molecule: ribosomal RNA, 253 nt
Filed under: uncultured bacterium
Lineage: Bacteria
Description: partial 16S ribosomal RNA
Rfam family: Bacterial small subunit ribosomal RNA
Source: RNAcentral
UACGUAGGGGGCAAGCGUUGUCCGGAAUCAUUGGGCGUAAAGAGCGUGUAGGCGGCCCGGUAAGUCCGCUGUGAAAGUCCAGGGCUCAACCCUGGGAUGCCGGUGGAUACUGUCGGGCUCGAGUCCGGAAGAGGAGUGUGGAAUUCCCGGUGUAGUGGUGAAAUGCGCAGAUAUCAGGAGGAACACCAAUGGCGAAGGCGGAUCUCUGGGCCUUACCUGACGCUGAGGCGCGAAAGCUAGGGGAGCGAACAGG